Molecule: ribosomal RNA, 801 nt
Filed under: uncultured bacterium
Lineage: Bacteria
Description: bacterial SSU rRNA
Rfam family: Bacterial small subunit ribosomal RNA
Source: RNAcentral
GGGGAGUAUUUACUUCGGUUUUUACUCCUAGUGGCGAACGGGUGAGUAACGCGUUGGUGACCUGCCCCGAAGAGGGGGAUAACUCCGCGAAAGCGGAGCUAAUACCCCAUGUGGUCUUUCAGGUUAGAGUCUGGAUGACUAAAGGAGCAAUCCACUUCGGGAGGGACCUGCGUCCCAUCAGCUAGUUGGUAAGGUAACGGCCUACCAAGGCUAUGACGGGUAGGGGGCCUGAGAGGGUGGCCCCCCACACUGGCACUGAAACACGGGCCAGACACCUACGGGUGGCAGCAGUAGGGAAUAUUGCACAAUGGGCGAAAGCCUGAUGCAGCAACGCCGCGUGCGCGAAGAAGGCCUUCGGGUUGUAAAGCGCUUUUCUGGAGGAAGAGGAAGGACGGUACUCCAGGAAUAAGGAUCGGCUAACUACGUGCCAGCAGCCGCGGUAACACGUAGGAUCCGAGCGUUAUCCGAAUUUACUGGGCGUAAAGCGCGUGUAGGCGGCUGGGUAAGUUGGACGUGAAAGCUCCUGGCUCAACUAGGAGAGGUCGUUCAAAACUGCCUGGCUAGAGGGCGACAGAGGGAGGUGGAAUUCCCGGUGUAGUGGUGAAAUGCGUAGAUAUCGGGAGGAACACCAGUGGCGAGGGCGGCCUCCUGGGUCGCCCCUGACGCUCAGACGCGAAAGCUAGGGGAGCGAACGGGAUUAGAUACCCCGGUAGUCCUAGCUGUAAACGAUGUGAACUUGGCGUUGGUGGGGUCAAAUCCAUCAGUGCCGUAGCUAACGCGAUAAGUUCACCGCCUGGGGAC